AUGCGGGGUCGACUACAGUUGGCGUGUGAGGUUGCCUCCAAGAAUUUAGCUGGGGCUAAAGCUCGCAUGAAGGCCAGGUAUGACCGCAAGGCGGUGUGCCGCGUUUUUGAUCCAGGUGAUUUGGUCUUAGUUUUAGGAGCAGGACCACGGGGACCGUUAGGUCCUAUGUUUGCUGGUCCUUACAGGGUCUUGAGGAAGGUCGGGGACCUCAACUACGUUGUUAGUACCCCAGAGAGGCGGUCUAAGACCCGACUGUGUCACAUUAAUGCCAUGACAUCUUAUAAGGGAGAGGUAACUGAGGCAGUAGUGACUUGUGUUCAGAGAGACCUCCCAGAAAGUACAGAGGAGCUUAGUGAUGUGGACUCGUCCCCUGACGUGGUUAAUGCUAGGUUGUAUAAUACCAAGGCUCGUGCUGAGUUGGAAGGGAAGUUGGGGUACCUUACUGAUUCCCAGAGGGGGGAUGUAGUGCGUCUGAUUUACCUUUUCCCUUCGCUUUUCAGAGAUACUCCCGGUAGCACACAUAAGGCGGUACAUGAUGUGGAUACAGGGUAUGCUGACCCUGUGAAACAGCAUCCAUACAGGCUCCCUCCAUGUAAGAAGUUGGUGGUACAGGAGGAGGUAGACUAUAUGAUGCGCAUCGGGGUAAUUGAGCCCUCAGACAGUCCCUGGAGUUCCCCAGUUGUCUUAGUUGCUCAAGAGGGCAGAGCAGAUAGGUUCUGUGUUGACUUCAGACGGGUUAACGUGGUCACAAAAGGGGAUGCGUUCCCUCUUCCUCGGUUAGAGGAUUGCAUUGAUCAGGUGGGGCAGAAGAAGUUUGUGACCAAGAUCGACCUCCUGAAAGGUUACUUUCAGGUACCAUUAACAGAAAGGGCAAAGGAAGUGUCAGCUUUUGUAACCCCAGAUGGGCUGUAUCAGUUCAGGGUGAUGCCUUUUGGCAUGAAGAAUGCUCCAGCCACCUUCCAAAGGUUGAUGAACUCCCUCACCCAAGGGCUAGGAAACACUGUCUAA
Molecule: long non-coding RNA, 1008 nt
Filed under: Gadus morhua (Atlantic cod)
Lineage: Eukaryota; Metazoa; Chordata; Actinopteri; Gadiformes; Gadidae
Description: lncRNA (ENSGMOG00000033568.1)
Source: RNAcentral